UUUUUAAAAGGUAAUCACACAAAAAUAUAAGCAAUUCUACAAUUUUAGAUACUUAUAUAAAUAAUAUUAUAAAAUAAUAUUUAUAUUUAUUAUUUUUUUUCUUAUUACACACGAUAACUUCCUUUUCUAAUAUUCAUUUUAGUUGAAAAAAUUGUUAAAGUAAACUUUAAAUAAAUUAUAAAAGAAUUCCAAAACUAGUAUUAAAGAGAACAAAAGAAAAUUUCUAACAAAGAAAGAAUAAUGUUAUUUAGCCAAAAAAAAAAGAAAUAAUCUAAAAAGUGUAAAAGAGUUAAAACGAAAAAAAAUACAGCUCAUUGAAGGCCUGGAAAUUGGGUGGGGUGGGGCACAGUUGAGCUUUUAAAAACCAACAAGCCACAAAGUUGAAUCAGUACAUAAUUUUGCUCAAAAGGUUUAUUAUUUAGUACGUGCCAUGUGCCGCACCCUUCCUACACGUGGAUCCGCCCCUGCAUGUAACAACAAUUAUAAUAUCUAUUAAAAACUAUGUUAUUGAAAAAUGAUUUAAGUAAUAAAAUAUUUAUAGAAACAAAAACCAAAAAUUAACUUAAAAAUCUCAAAUAAGAAAAAUAAUUAGUAUAAGAAACAAGUCUAUAAAGUAAACCGAUUAGUGGGUGUAUGUUAUAUCAAUACAGCAUUACCAAUACUCAAAAAGUAAGUUUGUAGGGAUUACUAUUUUAGAAAUCUAAAAGUUAUAAGUAAUAUUAAAAAUGUUAAAAAUGACUUCAUAUUCCAAAGUGUUGCAUAAAAUAUCAUUUACAGUUGUGUUUUGGGUUGUAUAAGCUCAGGUUAAAGCUUUGUGACAAAUGGAGGUAGUGUCUUAACUUGGCAGGGAAGAUGAUUGGUGAAACUGAUUGUGAUAUCAGUGGUAUAAAAAACCAAAGGAGGGAAGAAUAAGGUGGUUUCUGGUUUACUUACGUCAACUGAAAUCUGACGUGUCGAUUAUAAAGAAAUCUGGACAUGAAGCUCAAGGUUAAAGUUCUACUCGGAAGUCUCAAGAGAAUGUUUUUUCCAGACUGCUCCAGAAAUGGUACAUUCUUAACGGUCAGAAACUCGGUUUGUUAGUGUAAUACUUGAAGAUGGCAGCAGGAGUUCUGUUAUGAAUGGUCAAAAUUGAAAGUAACAAAGAGGAAUCUGGAGAUAUAGCAGAAGUGGUGCCUCAAGGUUUGACACAAUUUUCUCAUCCAAAGAGGAGGAAUUAUAAUAGAUGUCAAGUUGGUUCAGAUGAGUGGCGUAAGGUAGUAAAGGGAAGCGCCUUGGUGGAUCUUCUGGUAAAAACAGAUUCGUUGCAGUGGCUGCAGUGAAAAUGAGACAAUUAUCAAGUUUUAAGCCAUGAUUAAUCAAUAAGGCAGUGUUGUUUUAACUCUGAAAGGUGGAGCUAAGAUUGAGAAAUAUAUGAAGCUUUGACGGAUCGAAGCUUCAAGUGGAGUUUCUGCAAGUAAAUGAAGUACACGGCUACUUAAGAGGUUGAGUUGCAGGUGGAGUAAUGAAGUCAGACGGCUUCAGAGGAUGGUUAGCUCUUGGCAGGUAGGAGUUAAAAAGGAAUCACUGGUUUUGAUAGGCUUCAUGGGUGAUACAAGUCUGCAGAAAACAAAGAUCCAAGGUCAGAAAGAGAUUGUCAACAGGUUCAGUCACAGCUUGGUCUUCAUCAGAAGGUAAUAGAGUUGUCUGCUUAGGUCUGAUGGAGUGAUUGAUGAUGUUAAGGUCAUCUAGUGGUCAGUUGCAGGCAUCUCAAGGAUAAUGAGAUGGUAGUGUUAAUUUUUGAGAUGAGGACACGUUGAAAAAGGCUAGCUGCAGGGUCUGUUGCAGGGUCUGCAAGAACAGUUUCAGAGGCAUCGAUGCAAAGGAGCUUCAAAGUCAGGGUCAAAGGAUAAUGAAGUAUGGUCAUCUUAGAGAAGUUGAGCAACUGAAAUGCAUUCCUAAUUGAAUGGACAUCCAGAGAAGUCAAACUGCAUUGGGUUAAGAACAAGUGAGGUUUACUUGUGUCUUUGGAGCAUCACAAGAAAGGUUUUCGUCUCAGGAUAACAGAGAAGUUAUACUCAGUUGAGGUUUAUAGAUAUUCAAGGCUUGCUUGAAGAAUGAAAAUGAAUCAGAAUGAUGUACUGAUUGGGUCUGAGACAGAAUGUGAUGCAAACACCAAGUCUAGUGUGAUUUCUCAUACAAGUGAAGGUGUUUGAGGAUGGCACAGCAGAGAAGAGAUAUCAGGGUUCUAGAGGAUAUAUCUUAAGGGCUGCUGCAGAGUGAGUCUCACGAACACUACAAGAGGCAUUUGGUGUGAGACAUGGUGGAAAGAAGACGUCAGCAGUGAGGUUUAAGCUGUUGAUGCAGGUCUGUUUGAAGAUUGCUCGAGCCAGAGUUGUAUCCUUGAACCUUUCAGAAACGAUUCCGAACCCUUCAAGAAACGAUUCCGAACCCUCUAUUGGAAACAAUAGCGGAGCAGAGUGAUACUUUGAAGUUCAAACAAAUCACUGUAAGUACAAUCUCAGGUUUGAGUUAAAACUAACUAAAUGUUGGUUGAGUUUGUUUUGCAGGUAUGAAUCAAGAAUUGCUUCAGGUUGAAGCAUGUAUGGUUCAAGGACCUGUUGCAAAUGAUUCAAGGGAGCUUGUUUCUAAGGUAAAGAUAGAUAAUAUCGAUAUCAUGACUAGCAAGACAACACAAUUGGAUUUCUUUGGAGGACUUAAAACACAAGCCAUAAAUGAUGGAUCUAUCCGAGGGCCUAUGCAUAUGUUUAUGCAGUCGGCAUCAGUUUUACAAUGGCAUUUGUACUGACAUCUAGCUGAAAAAUUAUUUGAAACAAAUAAUAUGAAUAGUUUGUUAAAAAAAAAUAACUGAUUCUAUCUAGCGUUAUUAUUUAUAUGGAAAAGAAGAUGAUUAAAAUAUUA
Molecule: long non-coding RNA, 2898 nt
Organism: Brassica napus (rape)
Lineage: Eukaryota; Viridiplantae; Streptophyta; Magnoliopsida; Brassicales; Brassicaceae
Exons: 2
Source: RefSeq, a predicted model, not a curated record